GUCUACUGUCAUAUCACCCUGAACACACCCAAUCUCACCUGAUCUUUGAAGCUAAGCAGGGUCAGGCCUGGUUAGUACUUGGAUGGCAGACAGACAGCUGGACUUUGGAGGAG
Ribosomal RNA from Gorilla gorilla gorilla (western lowland gorilla), 113 nucleotides. Lineage: Eukaryota; Metazoa; Chordata; Mammalia; Primates; Hominidae. The record is from Ensembl.